RNAcentral lists this long non-coding RNA (835 nucleotides) under Cyclopterus lumpus (lumpfish). RNAcentral describes it as "lncRNA (ENSCLMG00005006079.1)". The record is from RNAcentral. Lineage: Eukaryota; Metazoa; Chordata; Actinopteri; Perciformes; Cyclopteridae.
CUGAAACGUCUGAAGAGAGAGAGAGAAAUGAAGCUCCAGUCUCUGCUGCUGUCGAUCGCCCUCAGCUGCUGCUCUGCUGAAGGUGACCACCAUGACACUCCACCUUCUGCGGUGAUGAUGGGCGCCGCUCAGUCACCCGUCCAAUGGGACGACGCCCCCGGCCCAAAGCGGUCGGAGCAGGUCCAGGAUCAGCAGUCGGACGAACUGUGGAGGAAGGAGGUCCUGGAUCUGCUCACACAGCUGGUCCUGGUUCAGAAAGAGGUCGCCAGGGGCCAGGGUCAGGUGGUGCAACUCCUCAGCACGCUGGGUACUCAGGGUUCCCAGCAGAUCCAGGAUCUGCAGAAUCUGGCUCGUCACCAGAGUCUGCUGGUUGAGAACCACCAGGCGUUACUGCUGCAGACCUCCCGCAUCGCCACCCAGCUGCAGGAAAUCACCAAGAAGCCCGCUGCCCCCCCGAACACUCCUUCCAGCCAAUGAGAUCCUCUAGUUCACCAGUUUGUUCUGAUAUUUGUUCUCAAUGAGCCAUUCAGGUUGAUUUGUUCUCAUCCUGUUGGCCAAUGAUUUAGAUUGUUUAUACUAACUGAACCAGUUAAACCAGCUUACCAGUUAACAUCUAACCUUUUAAUCAAUACUAAUCAUUUUCAGUAUGCUGAUAGAUUUGAACACACAAUCAAACAAAUGUAUUUUACAUGUUUCUUAGAUUAAGAAUCAGAGAACUGAUUAAAUGAAAACCUGUUGGUGACAUCACAGCAUCCCAUCAGAGGAACACCUUUGUUGUUGUAUUUCCUAUUCUGUCAUUUUCAAAAUAAAGUCAUGUUUCAUGACCCAUCCAGUG